GUGGGGAAUAUUGGACAAUGGGCGCAAGCCUGAUCCAGCCAUGCCGCGUGAGUGAUGAAGGCCUUCGGGUCGUAAAGCUCUGUUGCAGGGGAAUAAAAAAAUGAAGGUACCCUGUGAGGAAGGAUCGGCUAACUUCGUGCCAGCAGCCGCGGUAAGACGAGGGAUCCUAGCGUUGCUCGGAAUCAUUGGGCGUAAAGAGGGCGUAGGUGGCUUGGUAAGUCAGGUGUGAAAGCCCAGGGCUCAACCCUGGAAGUGCAUUUGAUACUGCUGAGCUUGAGUGUCGGAGAGGUUACCGGAAUACCUGGUGUAGUGGUGAAAUACGUAGAUAUCAGGUGGAACACCGGAGGCGAAGGCGGGUAACUGGACGAACACUGACACUGAGGCCCGAAAGCGUGGGGAUCAAACAGGAUUAGAAACCCUGGUAGUCC
Molecule: ribosomal RNA, 428 nt
Filed under: uncultured bacterium
Lineage: Bacteria
Description: partial 16S ribosomal RNA
Rfam family: Bacterial small subunit ribosomal RNA
Source: RNAcentral